GGUGAACGCUGGCGGCAUGCCUAACACAUGCAAGUCGAACGGACACACAGUAAGCUUUUUCUUUUAACGUUGGCGGCGGGCGGACGGGUGACACAUACAUCACCAUCUUCUUUUUCUUGGAGGACUUCGUAAAGACGGAGCCGCUACUAGCGAAUAUAUUCUACCGCUUGAUUCAAUGGUGCUUCGGGCCUUUCGCGUUUCUUUUAGCCGGUGUCGCAUUAGCUAGUUGGGUGGGUAAAGGCCCACCAAGGCGACGAUCCGUAGCUGGUCUGAGAGGGUGAUCAGCCACACUGGAACUGAGACACGGUCCAGACUCCUACGGGAGGCAGCAGUGGGGAAUAUUGGACAAUGGGCGAAAGCCUGACGCAGCAACACCGCGUGAGUGAAGAAGGCCUUCGGAUCGUAAAGCCCUUUUAUUAGGGAAGAACAGCAGUAUGAUAAUAUAUGGCUGUUUUGACGGUACCCAAAGAAAAAGCAACGGCUAACUUCGUG
Molecule: ribosomal RNA, 492 nt
Filed under: uncultured bacterium
Lineage: Bacteria
Description: partial 16S ribosomal RNA
Rfam family: Bacterial small subunit ribosomal RNA
Source: RNAcentral